Molecule: ribosomal RNA, 323 nt
Filed under: uncultured soil bacterium
Lineage: Bacteria
Description: bacterial SSU rRNA
Rfam family: Bacterial small subunit ribosomal RNA
Source: RNAcentral
AGAACGAACGCUGGCGGCAUGUCUAAUACAUGCAAGUCGAACGAACACUUCGGUGUUAGUGGCGCACGGGUGCGUAACGCGUGGGAAUCUGCCCUUGGGUUCGGAAUAACAGUUGGAAACGACUGCUAAUACCGGAUGAUAUCGAAAGAUCAAAGAUUUAUCGCCCGGGGAUGAGCCCGCGUAGGAUUAGCUAGUUGGUGAGGUAAAGGCUCACCAAGGCGACGAUCCUUAGCUGGUCUGAGAGGAUGAUCAGCCACACUGGGACUGAGACACGGCCCAGACUCCUACGGGAGCAGCAGUAGGGAAUAGUUGGACAAGUGGGC